RNAcentral lists this ribosomal RNA (2937 nucleotides) under Pectobacterium polaris. RNAcentral's name for it is "bacterial LSU rRNA". It matches the Rfam family "Bacterial large subunit ribosomal RNA". The record is from RNAcentral. Lineage: Bacteria; Pseudomonadati; Pseudomonadota; Gammaproteobacteria; Enterobacterales; Pectobacteriaceae.
GGGUUGUGAGGUUAAGCGACUAAGCGUACACGGUGGAUGCCUAGGCAGUCAGAGGCGAUGAAGGGCGUGCUAAUCUGCGAUAAGCGUCGGUAAGCUGAUAUGAAGCGUUAUACCCGACGAUACCCGAAUGGGGAAACCCAGUGUGUUUCGACACACUAUCAUUAUGUGAAUACAUAGCGUAAUGAGGCGAACCGGGGGAACUGAAACAUCUCAGUACCCCGAGGAAAAGAAAUCAACCGAGAUUCCCCUAGUAGCGGCGAGCGAACGGGGAGGAGCCCAGAACCUGAAUCAGUUUGUGUGUUAGUGGAAGCGUCUGGAAAGUCGCACAGUAAAGGGUGAUAGUCCCGUACACAAAAAUGCACAAAUUGUGAGUUCGAUGAGUAGGGCGGGACACGUGACAUCCUGUCUGAAUAUGGGGGGACCAUCCUCCAAGGCUAAAUACUCCUGACUGACCGAUAGUGAACCAGUACCGUGAGGGAAAGGCGAAAAGAACCCCGGCGAGGGGAGUGAAAUAGAACCUGAAACCGUGUACGUACAAGCAGUGGGAGCCUUGAUUAAUCAGGGUGACUGCGUACCUUUUGUAUAAUGGGUCAGCGACUUAUAUUCUGUAGCAAGGUUAACCGUAUAGGGGAGCCGUAGGGAAACCGAGUCUUAACUGGGCGUUAAGUUGCAGGGUAUAGACCCGAAACCCGGUGAUCUAGCCAUGGGCAGGUUGAAGGUUGGGUAACACUAACUGGAGGACCGAACCGACUAAUGUUGAAAAAUUAGCGGAUGACUUGUGGCUGGGGGUGAAAGGCCAAUCAAACCGGGAGAUAGCUGGUUCUCCCCGAAAGCUAUUUAGGUAGCGCCUCGUGAAUUCAUCUUCGGGGGUAGAGCACUGUUUCGGCUAGGGGGUCAUCCCGACUUACCAACCCGAUGCAAACUACGAAUACCGAAGAAUGUUAUCACGGGAGACACACGGCGGGUGCUAACGUUCGUCGUGAAGAGGGAAACAACCCAGACCGCCAGCUAAGGUCCCAAAGUCAUGGUUAAGUGGGAAACGAUGUGGGAAGGCACAGACAGCCAGGAUGUUGGCUUAGAAGCAGCCAUCAUUUAAAGAAAGCGUAAUAGCUCACUGGUCGAGUCGGCCUGCGCGGAAGAUGUAACGGGGCUAAACCAUGCACCGAAGCUGCGGCAGCGACACUUAGGUGUUGUUGGGUAGGGGAGCGUUCUGUAAGCCGUCGAAGGUGGCCUGUGAGGGCCGCUGGAGGUAUCAGAAGUGCGAAUGCUGACAUAAGUAACGAUAAUGCGGGUGAAAAACCCGCACGCCGGAAGACCAAGGGUUCCUGUCCAACGUUAAUCGGGGCAGGGUGAGUCGACCCCUAAGGCGAGGCUGAAAAGCGUAGUCGAUGGGAAACAGGUUAAUAUUCCUGUACUCGGUGUUACUGCGAAGGGGGGACGGAGAAAGCUAGGUUAUCCGGGCGACGGUUGUCCCGGUUUAAGCGUGAAGGUGGAUGACUUUGGUAAAUCCGGGUCGUUGUUAACACUGAGGCGUGAUGACGAGUCACUACGGUGAUGAAGUAACCGAUGCUACGCUUCCAGGAAAAGCCUCUAAGCUCCAGGUAACAUCAAAUCGUACCCCAAACCGACACAGGUGGUCAGGUAGAGAAUACUCAGGCGCUUGAGAGAACUCGGGUGAAGGAACUAGGCAAAAUGGUGCCGUAACUUCGGGAGAAGGCACGCUGAUGGUAGGUGAAGUGACUUGCUCACGGAGCUGAAAUCAGUCGAAGAUACCAGCUGGCUGCAACUGUUUAAUAAAAACACAGCACUGUGCAAACACGAAAGUGGACGUAUACGGUGUGACGCCUGCCCGGUGCCGGAAGGUUAAUUGAUGGGGUCAGCCGCAAGGCGAAGCUCUUGAUCGAAGCCCCGGUAAACGGCGGCCGUAACUAUAACGGUCCUAAGGUAGCGAAAUUCCUUGUCGGGUAAGUUCCGACCUGCACGAAUGGCGUAAUGAUGGCCAGGCUGUCUCCACCCGAGACUCAGUGAAAUUGAACUCGCUGUGAAGAUGCAGUGUACCCGCGGCAAGACGGAAAGACCCCGUGAACCUUUACUAUAGCUUGACACUGAACCUUGAGCCUUGAUGUGUAGGAUAGGUGGGAGGCUUUGAAGCGUGGACGCCAGUCUGCGUGGAGCCAACCUUGAAAUACCACCCUUUAAUGUUUGAUGUUCUAACGUGGGCCCGUAAUCCGGGUUGCGGACAGUGUCUGGUGGGUAGUUUGACUGGGGCGGUCUCCUCCCAAAGCGUAACGGAGGAGCACGAAGGUUAGCUAAUCCUGGUCGGACAUCAGGAGGUUAGUGCAAAGGCAUAAGCUAGCUUGACUGCGAGAGUGACAGCUCGAGCAGGUGCGAAAGCAGGUCUUAGUGAUCCGGUGGUUCUGAAUGGAAGGGCCAUCGCUCAACGGAUAAAAGGUACUCCGGGGAUAACAGGCUGAUACCGCCCAAGAGUUCAUAUCGACGGCGGUGUUUGGCACCUCGAUGUCGGCUCAUCACAUCCUGGGGCUGAAGUAGGUCCCAAGGGUAUGGCUGUUCGCCAUUUAAAGUGGUACGCGAGCUGGGUUUAGAACGUCGUGAGACAGUUCGGUCCCUAUCUGCCGUGGGCGUUGGAAGAUUGAGAGGGGUUGCUCCUAGUACGAGAGGACCGGAGUGAACGCACCACUGGUGUUCGGGUUGUGAUGCCAAUUGCAUUGCCCGGUAGCUAAGUGCGGAAGAGAUAACCGCUGAAAGCAUCUAAGCGGGAAACUUGCCUCGAGAUGAGUCUUCCCUGGGCACUAGAUGCCCCUGAAGGGCCGUUGAAGACGACGACGUAGAUAGGCUGGGUGUGUAAGCGUAGCGAUACGUUGAGCUAACCAGUACUAAUGACCCGAGAGGCUUAACCUUACAACACCGAAGGUGUUU